GAUGAACGCUGGCGGCGUGCCUAAUACAUGCAAGUCGAGCGAACAGAUAAGGAGCUUGCUCCUUUGACGUUAGCGGCGGACGGGUGAGUAACACGUGGAUAACCUACCUAUAAGACUGGGAUAACUUCGGGAAACUGGAGCUAAUACCGGAUAACAUAUUGAACCGCAUGGUUCAAUAGUGAAAGGCGGCUUUGCUGUCACUUAUAGAUGGAUCCGCGCCGUAUUAGCUAGUUGGUAAGGUAACGGCUUACCAAGGCAACGAUACGUAGCCGACCUGAGAGGGUGAUCGGCCACACUGGAACUGAGACACGGUCCAGACUCCUACGGGAGGCAGCAGUAGGGAAUCUUCCGCAAUGGGCGAAAGCCUGACGGAGCAACGCCGCGUGAGUGAUGAAGGUCUUCGGAUCGUAAAACUCUGUUAUCAGGGAAGAACAAAUGUGUAAGUAACUGUGCACAUCUUGACGGUACCUGAUCAGAAAGCCACGGCUAACUACGUG
RNAcentral lists this ribosomal RNA (497 nucleotides) under uncultured bacterium. RNAcentral describes it as "partial 16S ribosomal RNA". It matches the Rfam family "Bacterial small subunit ribosomal RNA", at positions 28 to 507 of the family's 1533-position model. The record is from RNAcentral.